AUUGAACGCUGGCGGAAUGCUUUACACAUGCAAGUCGAACGGCAGCACGGACUUCGGUCUGGUGGCGAGUGGCGAACGGGUGAGUAAUGUAUCAGAACGUGCCCAGUCGUGGGGGAUAACGUAGUGAAAAUUACGCUAAUACCGCAUACGAUCUAUGGAUGAAAGCGGGGGAUCGCAAGACCUCGCGCGAUUGGAGCGGCCGAUAUCAGAUUAGGUAGUUGGUGGGGUAAAGGCCCACCAAGCCAACGAUCUGUAGCUGGUCUGAGAGGACGACCACCCACACUGGAACUGGGACACGGGCCAGACUCCUACGGGAGGCAGCAGUGGGGAAUUUUGGACAAUGGGCGAAAGCCUGAUCCAGCCAUUCCGCGUGCAGGAUGAAGGCCCUCGGGUUGUAAACUGCUUUUGUACAGAACGAAAAGGUUUCUACUAAUACUAGGAGCUCAUGACGGUACUGUAAGAAUAAGCACCGGCUAACUACGUGCCAGCAGCCGCCGCGG
RNAcentral lists this ribosomal RNA (500 nucleotides) under uncultured bacterium. RNAcentral describes it as "partial 16S ribosomal RNA". It matches the Rfam family "Bacterial small subunit ribosomal RNA", at positions 30 to 523 of the family's 1533-position model. The record is from RNAcentral.